GCAUGGGCGAGCACCCCAGCCCGGGCCCCGCAGUGGCCGCCUGCGCCGAGGCGGAGCGCAUCGAGGAGCUGGAACCCGAGGCCGAGGAGCGGCCGCCGGCGGCGCCGGAGGACCACUGGAAAGUCCUGUUUGAUCAGAGAGCCACUGAAGUCAAAUCUCUGCCAUCCUUGAAGGGCGACUCGAUAUGAGCACUUCUGAAAGCUGACUCUACUCUAAUUUUGCUGCAGGGAUGGGGGAGUCAUAGCUGGAAACUUGUAUGUGAUUGUUCGCAAUGCUUAGAGCCUAGGCGUGGUGGAUGGAGUUGGAAGUGCCACACAUUGGCUUUGGAACCGGGAGACGGACAUUUGACCUUCAGCGGGGAAAUGGUUCUCUUCUUUGCUUGGUACUCCUGUUGCGUGCUGUUGUUAUGUGUUUCCUUCUCCCUCCCCGUUUCAUGAUGCAGAAGGAGAGGUGGCAAGAGCUGUCCCAGUGUGGGGGAAUAGUGAGCAUUGUGGUCCUGGGGUGAAAAUGACUAUACCAUGAAGUGUGUGUGACUUUAAGAGACCAGUCUGGUUGGGCCAGAGGGAGCGUGUUGGGUUGGAGAGGUAGAUAAAGCUGAAAAAGCAGCACGGACCAGACCUCGUCCUGUUGGAGGCAGGGGAAGCCUUUGAAAGCUUUUUUGACAAGUUUGUUACCAGAUCCAGGCAGUACUUUGGGAAGAUCCUGUGUGAGAGUGGGAUAGAGGUGAGAUGGGUUGCAGGGAUGAGAGGAACUGGCCAGGAGCCUGCUGCCAUGAAUGGAGACAAGCCCUUGACUUGGAAGAUGACAGUGGGAGUGGAAAGGAAGAGGGACAUGGUGAUGGGAGAAUUGGAAGAUCUUAUUAGACCCAAAUAGAUGAGGUGAACCACAUGUAUAACUUUGAGGUUCUGCACCUAGGAGGAGAAGGAAAAGUCAGGCUGGGGGCAGGGGGGUUUGUAAAAUUGACAACUUUGGUUUCAGACCAGUUCAGUUUGAGGAGUCAGCUAAAUGCAGACAGACGGCCAAGUGGGACUGACAACACGGAAUUCAGCUUGAAAGGCAUGGUGGGCCUGGGGUGGGGAUUGGGGGCUGUCAUCCACCUCAACACAAGGCCUGGCUGUGGCUUGGGGAGCAUCCCGCCGCUCCUGUCCCUCUGGGGUACACCAUCUCUCCCUCUGGCUCUUAAGAGUACAGACACUUCUGGCCUGACGCCCUGAGGCAGGAGGGAGCUGCCUGCUGCCACAGAUGCCACGACCAGCAAGCUGCCAGCCCUUCACACCUCCUGCCAGAUUUAGAAUCCAAACCUAGAACAAAGUGUAUCAUUCUUUUUU
This is an RNA transcript of Lagenorhynchus albirostris (white-beaked dolphin), 1328 nucleotides long. It is a transcript of the gene named rhomboid like 3, with no coding region annotated. The transcript is spliced from 3 exons. NCBI's taxonomy places the organism in Eukaryota, Metazoa, Chordata, Mammalia, Artiodactyla, Delphinidae. The record is from RefSeq and is a predicted model, not a curated record.